GACGAACGCUGGCGGCGUGCCUAAUACAUGCAAGUAGAACGCUGAAGGAGGAGCUUGCUUCUCUGGAUGAGUUGCGAACGGGUGAGUAACGCGUAGGUAACCUGCCUGGUAGCGGGGGGUAACUAUUGGAAACGAUAGCUAAUACCGCAUAAUAGUAGAUGUUGCAUGACAUUUGCUUAAAAGGUGCAAUUGCAUCACUACCAGAUGGACCUGCGUUGUAUUAGCUAGUUGGUGGGGUAACGGCUCACCAAGGCGACGAUACAUAGCCGACCUGAGAGGGUGAUCGGCCACACUGGGACUGAGACACGGCCCAGACUCCUACGGGAGGCAGCAGUAGGGAAUCUUCGGCAAUGGACGGAAGUCUGACCGAGCAACGCCGCGGGAGUGAAGAAGGGUUUCGGAUCGUAAAGCUCUGUUGUAAGAGAAGAACGAGUGUGAGAGUGGAAAGUUCACACUGUGACGGUAUCUUACCAGAAAGGGACGGCUAACUACGUG
This 495-nucleotide ribosomal RNA is filed under the name uncultured bacterium. Its description in RNAcentral is "partial 16S ribosomal RNA". It matches the Rfam family "Bacterial small subunit ribosomal RNA", at positions 28 to 507 of the family's 1533-position model. The record is from RNAcentral.